GACGAACGCUGGCGGCGUGCUUAACACAUGCAAGUCGAACGGAAAGGCCCUGCUUUUGUGGGGUGCUCGAGUGGCGAACGGGUGAGUAACACGUGAGUAACCUGCCCUUGACUUUGGGAUAACUUCAGGAAACUGGGGCUAAUACCGGAUAGGAGCUCCUGCUGCAUGGUGGGGGUUGGAAAGUUUCGGCGGUUGGGGAUGGACUCGCGGCUUAUCAGCUUGUUGGUGGGGUAGUGGCUUACCAAGGCUUUGACGGGUAGCCGGCCUGAGAGGGUGACCGGCCACAUUGGUACUGAGAUACGGCCCAGACUCCUACGUGAGGCAGCAGUGGGGAAUAUUGCACAAUGGGCGGAAGCCUGAUGCAGCAACGCCGCGUGCGGGAUGACGGCCUUCGGGUUGUAAACCGCUUUCGCCUGUGACGAAGCGUGAGUGACGGUAAUGGGUAAGGAAGCACCGGCUAACUACGUG
Molecule: ribosomal RNA, 468 nt
Filed under: uncultured bacterium
Lineage: Bacteria
Description: partial 16S ribosomal RNA
Rfam family: Bacterial small subunit ribosomal RNA
Source: RNAcentral